This 549-nucleotide ribosomal RNA is filed under the name Salmonella enterica subsp. enterica. RNAcentral describes it as "bacterial LSU rRNA". It matches the Rfam family "Bacterial large subunit ribosomal RNA", at positions 1 to 580 of the family's 2925-position model. Lineage: Bacteria; Pseudomonadati; Pseudomonadota; Gammaproteobacteria; Enterobacterales; Enterobacteriaceae. The record is from RNAcentral.
GGGUUGUGAGGUUAAGCGACUAAGCGUACACGGUGGAUGCCCUGGCAGUCAGAGGCGAUGAAGGGCGUGCUAAUCUGCGAUAAGCGCCGGUAAGGUGAUAUGAACCGUUAUAACCGGCGAUACCCGAAUGGGGAAACCCAGUGUGACUCGUCACACUAUCAUUAACUGAAUCCAUAGGUUAAUGAGGCGAACCGGGGGAACUGAAACAUCUAAGUACCCCGAGGAAAAGAAAUCAACCGAGAUUCCCCCAGUAGCGGCGAGCGAACGGGGAGGAGCCCAGAGCCUGAAUCAGCAUGUGUGUUAGUGGAAGCGUCUGGAAAGGCGCGCGAUACAGGGUGACAGCCCCGUACACAAAAGCGCAUAUGCUGUGAGCUCGAUGAGUAGGGCGGGACACGUGGUAUCCUGUCUGAAUAUGGGGGGACCAUCCUCCAAGGCUAAAUACUCCUGACUGACCGAUAGUGAACCAGUACCGUGAGGGAAAGGCGAAAAGAACCCCGGCGAGGGGAGUGAAAAAGAACCUGAAACCGUGUACGUACAAGCAGUGGGAGC